Molecule: long non-coding RNA, 1821 nt
Organism: Gasterosteus aculeatus aculeatus (three-spined stickleback)
Lineage: Eukaryota; Metazoa; Chordata; Actinopteri; Perciformes; Gasterosteidae
Source: Ensembl
CUGCGUUUCCCUGACAACGGAACUGUGACAUCAUCAAGAAAUCCUUUGAUGUGUCUCGGAACACUAGAUCAUUGCGUUUCUGGUUCCAGAAGAGUGCAGUUGGAUAUUUUCUCUUGAAAGUAUCUGCGAUAUUUGUCCUUUACAGACUUAAGUAGUUUUUUGGAAGAUUCAUCACCAUCUUUCAGAGGUUACAUCGAGUCAUUUAGCGACAAAUAAAACAGUCUUUUUCAAGACUACACCCCUUUUCAGGGCUGACCAACAGUCUUUUUCAAGACUACACAAGUGUCAUUUAACAUGUACCGUAGAAACAACCAGAGAAUUGGAGCUGGCGCUCCACUUCUUCCGACUCCUCCCACCGGAUACAAUGUGAACAUUGCACUUUCUCAUGCACGGAAUGAAGUGCACUGCCUGAAAAGGCAAGUGAGCGAACUCACCGCUCACACUGAAACUGUGAAGUUCGAAUUGACCAACAUGUUAAAAGGCAAAGAUCUUGCCUAUGAGCAGAUGGUUGACAAGAACCGAAAGAGGUUUUCAGACCUUAUCAGGGAGAACGAGGGUUUAUCUCUGAAGGUCAGAGAGACCGAACAACUCGUUGUCAAAAAUGCUGAACUCAUGGUCAAAGUAACAGGGUUACUCUCCACCAACAACUCUCUUCAAGAGAAGCUGCACAAGCAGCAGGCCAACAACCAACAGUUGGAAGCAGAACACAAACUGCUGAAGAUCAAGACAGAGGCUCUGGAUGAGACUAUCAGGGAGAACGAGGGUUUAUCUCUGAAGCUCACCGAGACCACAAAAGAACUUUCUGUCAAAAGUGCUGAACUCACGGUCAACAACGAGACCUGGCAGCAGAAAUAUGAAGAUCUGGAGAAAAAGACAACCAAGAAACUGGAUGACCAACAACAGUCAUUGGAGUCUAAAGUAACAGGGUUACUCUCCACCAACAUUUCUCUUCAAGAGAAGCUGCACAAGCAGCAGGCCAACAACCAACAGUUGGAAGCAGAACACAAACUGCUGAAGAUCAAGACAGAGGCUCUGGAUGAGACUAUCAGGGAGAACGAGGGUUUAUCUCUGAAGCUCACCGAGACCACAAAAGAACUUUCUGUCAAAAGUGCUGAACUCACGGUCAACAACGAGACCUGGCAGCAGAAAUAUGAAGAUCUGGAGAAAAAGACAACCAAGAAACUGGAUGACCAACAACAGUCAUUGGAGUCUAAAGUAACAGGGUUACUCUCCACCAACAUGUCUCUUCAAGAGAAGCUGCACAAGCAGCAGGCCAACAACCAACAGUUGGAAGCAGAACACAAACUGCUGAAGAUCAAGACAGAGGCUCUGGAUGAGACUAUCAGGGAGAACGAGGGUUUAUCUCUGAAGCUCACCGAGACCACAAAAGAACUUUCUGUCAAAAGUGCUGAACUCACGGUCAACAAUGAGACCUGGCAGCAGUUGGAAGCAGAACACAAACUGCUGAAGACACAGAGGGAUUCUCUGGCUGCUUUAAUAAAGAGCCAAGAGGAGACCCGCCACGAGAUGGUCACAAUCAGUGAUUUCACUGAGUUGUGCCUGACCUCUAGGAUCCAACAACUGGAGGAUACCAUCUCCAAAGAACAUCAGAUCCUUAUCACCAGGAUCCAAGAAUUAGAGGACGACAAAACAGUCCUUGAAAACAUCUGCCUCGACUUAAAAAAAAAAAAAAGAGGCAUCUUUGGGAGACGGAUGCAAGACCGGCAGACGGAGAUGGACAAAAUGAGGCGCAAGAUGCAGGACAAGGAGACAAAGAAAUAGGAGAGAGAAGAGAAGAAAAAGGAGACCAUUCAGGACCUG